AUACGUAGGGGGCGAGCGUUGUCCGGAAUGACUGGGCGUAAAGGGCGUGUAGGCGGCCGAUUAAGUCUGGAGUGAAAGUCCUGCUUUCAAGGUGGGAAUUGCUUUGGAUACUGUCGGGCUUGAGUGCAGGAGAGGUAAGUGGAAUUCCCAGUGUAGCGGUGAAAUGCGUAGAGAUUGGGAGGAACACCAGUGGCGAAGGCGACUUACUGGACUGUAACUGACGCUGAGGCGCGAAAGUGUGGGGAGCAAACAGGAUUAGAUACCCUGGUAGUCCACACUGUAAACGAUGAAUGCUAGGUGUAGGGGGUAUCGACCCCUUCUGUGCCGCAGUCAACACAAUAAGCAUUCCGCCUGGGGAGUACGGCCGCAAGGUUGAAACUCAAAUGAAUUGGCGGGG
This 397-nucleotide ribosomal RNA is filed under the name uncultured bacterium. Its description in RNAcentral is "partial 16S ribosomal RNA". It matches the Rfam family "Bacterial small subunit ribosomal RNA", at positions 523 to 918 of the family's 1533-position model. The record is from RNAcentral.